RNAcentral lists this ribosomal RNA (312 nucleotides) under uncultured bacterium. RNAcentral describes it as "bacterial SSU rRNA". It matches the Rfam family "Bacterial small subunit ribosomal RNA", at positions 30 to 334 of the family's 1533-position model. The record is from RNAcentral.
AUUGAACGCUGGCGGCAGGCUUAACACAUGCAAGUCGAGCGGAAACGAAGAAGAGCUUGCUCUUUUUGGCGUCGAGCGGCGGACGGGUGAGUAAUGCUUGGGAAUAUGCCUUGAAGUGGGGGACAACAGUUGGAAACGACUGCUAAUACCGCAUAAUGUCUACGGGACCAAAGGGGGGGAUCUUCGGACCUCUCGCUUCUAGAUUAGCCCAAGUGAGAUUAGCUAGUAGGUGAGGUAAAGGCUCACCUAGGCGACGAUCUCUAGCUGGUUUGAGAGGAUGAUCAGCCACACUGGGACUGAGACACGGCCCAG